UGGGGAAUCUUGCGCAAUGGGCGAAAGCCUGACGCAGCAACGCCGCGUGCGGGAUGAAGGCCUUCGGGUUGUAAACCGCUUUCAGUAGGGACGAACUCAGACGGUACCUACAGAAGAAGCACCGGCCAACUACGUGCCAGCAGCCGCGGUAACACGUAGGGUGCAAGCGUUGUCCGGAAUCAUUGGGCGUAAAGAGCUCGUAGGCGGCUUAGUAAGUCGGGUGUGAAACCCCCAGGCUCAACCUGGGGACGCCACCCGAUACUGCUAUAGCUAGAGUCCAGUAGGGGAGUGCGGAAUUCCCGGUGUAGCGGUGAAAUGCGCAGAUAUCGGGAGGAACACCAGCGGCGAAGGCGGCACUCUGGGCUGGUACUGACGCUCAGGAGCGAAAGCGUGGGUAGCGAAC
This 403-nucleotide ribosomal RNA is filed under the name uncultured bacterium. Its description in RNAcentral is "bacterial SSU rRNA". It matches the Rfam family "Bacterial small subunit ribosomal RNA", at positions 355 to 773 of the family's 1533-position model. The record is from RNAcentral.